Oncorhynchus nerka (sockeye salmon) is the source of this 940-nucleotide long non-coding RNA. RefSeq lists it as uncharacterized. The record is from RefSeq and is a predicted model, not a curated record. NCBI's taxonomy places the organism in Eukaryota, Metazoa, Chordata, Actinopteri, Salmoniformes, Salmonidae. The transcript is spliced from 3 exons.
UGUCACCUCCUUGCUUGUUCCGCCCAUUAUGCUUCAUUUGCUCCCAUUGGAAAUGACAGGCUCUGGUCUAUCUUGGGUUAGUUAUACAAAUCUUUGAUAUAAUGGUACGUUUCAUUUGAAAUUGACAGCAGCUCAUGUCAGCUAAACUGGCUUCCGAUAUUCAUCCUCGUUUCACUAUCAACUGACUGGCUUCAUCAGGCAGCUUUAGAUCCUCCAUACAACGAUGGGCCAUCCUGAAAAAACAUGUGGAUAUCACUUUGAAGAUGUGGACUGAGACAAGGUGGGAGAGGAAAGUUAAGAGUGUCGAGCCACUGAUCUAUCAGGCAGCAGCGGUGAGAGAGGCACUGAUUGAGGAGCAGGAACCAGUGUGUCCAGUGCGCGGGCUUGCUAUAGGCGAGCCCAUAACGGUUUGGCAUAACGCGUACCCAUCCUGCUCUUCUGAUUCGGCACUGGGACCCGUCCUGGAUGGUUGCCCACGAGUUCCUCCCGGUCAGGGCCGUUAUGCCCUCCCGGGACAUGGCGAGGAUAUCCGCGUGCCACUACCAGGCUGCGGCCAAGAGUGGUCGGUGAGGCACUUGCUCUGGGAGUGCAGAGCCACCUGUAGAAGGAAGCAGGCUCCCUGAUUUCCCUGUGUCUGUCAGCAGGGGAGGACCUAAAGCCCCAGCUUGUGCUGUAUGGGGUGGGCCAGAGCUUGGCGAAGGCCUUCGGUGGAAUAGGCCUUUGGCCCACCCCAUACAGCACAAGCUGGGGCGUGUCUGAAGGAUGCACAGUGGUCCUCCCGUAACCUGCUGGUAGUGAAACGAGUAGAGACCACCCCCCAGGCAGUGGCCAUGGUAGUCACGGAAGCCCUGGGGUGGUACAGAAGAAAGGGGGCCUCAACCCCAGGCGAAGGGUCCCCCACAACACCCAAGGUCCCGGCGGUCACGGCCUGACAGCGCUG